Molecule: ribosomal RNA, 305 nt
Filed under: uncultured bacterium
Lineage: Bacteria
Description: partial 16S ribosomal RNA
Rfam family: Bacterial small subunit ribosomal RNA
Source: RNAcentral
ACAGCAGCAGCCGCGGUAAUACGGAGGGGGCUAGCGUUGUUCGGAAUUACUGGGCGUAAAGCGUACGUAGGCGGCUUUGUAAGUUAGAGGUGAAAGCCUGGUGCUCAACACCAGAACUGCCUUUAAGACUGCAUCGCUUGAACGUCGGAGAGGUGAGUGGAAUUCCGAGUGUAGAGGUGAAAUUCGUAGAUAUUCGGAAGAACACCAGUGGCGAAGGCGGCUCACUGGACGACUGUUGACGCUGAGGUACGAAAGCGUGGGGAGCAAACAGGAUUAGAUACCCCCGAGUCCCUGUCUCUUAUACA